Bactrocera dorsalis (oriental fruit fly) is the source of this 3961-nucleotide RNA transcript. RefSeq lists it as uncharacterized. NCBI's taxonomy places the organism in Eukaryota, Metazoa, Arthropoda, Insecta, Diptera, Tephritidae. The transcript is spliced from 2 exons. The record is from RefSeq and is a predicted model, not a curated record.
UGGUCCUGUUGUACAAUCCACUUCGAAAGAAAGGCUUGUCCCCGAAAUUGCAGACAGCCUGGGAAGGACCCUAUAUGGUGAUGAAACGACUUAAUGACGUGGUAUACCGCAUACAAAGAAAUGGGAAAGCACGAUGUAAAAUGAAAGUAGUACAUUUGGAGAGGCUCGCCCCAUUUGGUUCAAGAGGAUUUGUGCCUAAUCGGGACGAUUAGGCUUUAGUGGAGGGCAGUGUUACAAAAAGUAGUAUUAAGUUGUAUUUGUAUUACUAUAUGCAUCCCUGAUUAUGAACAAUAGCUGUAGGUAUAUGGAAUAGCAUUUGUCUUGUUGUAGACAUCUGGCGCCACACUGUCUGCUCGUCUAGUUAAACAAUUGCUGAGUCUGGCGCCGCGACUGUCUGCUUGCGUCUGGCGCCGUAUAGCCGUAUGUUCUGGUAAUUUCCAGACGCGAUAUUCUAGAAGGACACGUCGGCAUCAGCGAGAAGUGCGUGGCUAUAGCCGUAUGUUCUGGUAAUUUCCAGACGCGAUAUUCUAGAAGGACACGUCGGCAUCAGCGAGAAGUGCGUGGCUAUAUAAGCCGUGGCAGCGCCAACGUAAUGAAUCAGUGCUAAGAGUAAACUGCUAUAGUGUAGACGAGUUGUGAAAUAAAGAGUUGUUGAAUUAAAUUAAACAGUGUUGAUUUUAUUUGUCAAUCCAGAGAUACGAACCUAACAAAGUAAACUAGCAAGAGUAAAUUCGUAACAAUUGGUGUCAGAAGUGGGAUUGUCAAAUAAUCCAAAUUCAAGAUGGUUAAAUUCGGAGAAUUGAGAAUUCAGCAAUUAAAAAAGGAACUGGAGGAGCGUAAUUUGCCGAUAAGUGGGCAAAAGGCGGAUCUGCAGGCACGAUUACGUGAAGCAAUGGAAGCGGAUGGAAUUAAUGUGGACGAGUUCGAAUUUGUUGGGCCAGAAACUUCUACAAAGGUAGAAGAAAAAGUAGAAGAACAACGAACAUCAUCAAGUGUGGACAUGAACUUGCUGUUAGUGGCUAUUAAGCAAAUAGAAAAUCGUCUGGCACAGCAAAUAGCUGAAAAUACAGAAAAUGCAGUGCAAACAGAAAAUCGUCUGGCACAGCAAAUGACGCAAAUAGCUGAAAAUACAUCACAGUUAGAGUCUCGCCUUACACAACAAAUGACUGAAAAUAAUACGCAGUUAGAAAAUCGUUUGGUACAACAGAUUACGGAAAAUACUACACAACUACAAAAACAAGUGCAAGAGAAAUUUUCAAAAUUUGAAGACGAAUUAAGCACUUUAAAAAAUGACGAAGAAAAUUUGAAAUCAGAAGUUCUUCAUUUGAGUAAUCGGAUGCGAGAACUGCAACUGCAUGGCCCUGCACCAUCAACAAAUAAUCCGAGAUUGAAGUCACCCACAUUCGAUGGAAGUAUUCCAUUUCAAAUUUUCAAACUUCAGUUUGAAAAGACAGCAUUGGCCAAUAACUGGAAUGCAGCGGACAAAGUGGCGUCCUUGUUUGUAUCAUUGAAAGGACCUGCGGCAGAAAUCCUUCAGACUAUUCCAGACUGUGAACGGGACAACUAUGAGGCAUUGAUGAGUGCGAUAGAAAGACGAUAUGGUAGUGAGCACCGGAAACAAAUAUACCAGAUCGAACUGCAAAAUAGGGGUCAGAAAAUGAACGAGUCAUUGCAAGAGUUCGCAACUGAAAUAGAACGACUGGCUCAUUUGGCAAAUGCAGAUGCACCUGUGGAUUACAUUGAGAGGGUAAAAAUUCAAUGUUUCAUAAAUGGAAUUCGUGAUGUGGACACCAAACGCGCCACAUAUGCAUUGCCAAAAAGAACGUUUGCUGAAACGGUUUCGCACGCCCUCACACAGGAAACAGCUUCCCUACUAAGUAAACCAGCACACAAGGUACAAAGGGUUGAAAUGGAACAACCGGCGCUGAUGGAAGAAAUAUUGAAGACUCUGAAGACAAUUGCUGCACCGCGAGUAAAUACAACAGGCAGAUGUUUCAACUGUGGAAAAGCGGGUCACUUUGCCCGAAAUUGCAAUAUAAAAGUAAACCCAUCAAAACGGAAACAACCAACAGAUAACGAGGACGAAGCAUCCACAUCUCACAAGUCGUUAAACUAAAACGGAACAGUUCAAAGGGGCGUGAGCUGGUUCCCACAACUAUUUGCCCCGCCAUCUCGAUAUCACAAAUAGGUCGCCAUGACAACAAUCUUACUAUCAACAGCAUCGUAAAUGGACGACUGUCAACGCUUACUUUGGAUACUGGUGCCACACAUUCAAUUAUCCGACCGGAUGUGGUAAGAGGAACGGUUGAACCAUUAGUCGGUUGCAAGCUUCGAACGGCCACCGGGGAGGAAGCAGCUGUCGCGGGAAAAGUGUUUUGCGAAGUGAUGAUUGGUACCCUGGAAGUUAAUCACACCUUCAUCGUAGCAGAAAUCACGGAUGAAAUUAUAAUGGGAGUAGAUUUCAUGAUUGAUCACGGGGUUACUUUGGAUUUAAACAAGCAAAUGCUGUUUUGCCAGAACAUGGAGAUGCCUAUAAACACCGGAUAUGUGACCAACGUUGAAAGUAAGAGGGUGAUUGUUGAUGAUAAUCAGAGCAUUCCACCAAAAUCUGAGGCGAUUGUAUGGGCUAAAAUGAAUGGAGGAGGUGGGACUGAAGAGUUGUGGAUUGUGGAACCAACAAAAAUAGAUACACCCAUAUUGGUAGGAAGAACGCUUGUGAAAACUAGAGAAGACGCCACCAUUCCGGUGAGAGUAGUGAAUGAAUUCAACACGCCUAUAAGUCUGAAGAAAGGAGCAGUAAUUGGACAGUGCCAGAAUAUAAGUGCAAUAGCACGAUGCGAACGGUCACAACAGAAGCCUACGAUUGAGCCUCAGCAGAUAAGUCCUACACUCCUAAAUAAUUUGCUGAACGAACUGCAUGGAAAUGAAAAAUUAAAAGCAGAAAAACUAUUAGAAAAAUACGCAUCCAUAUUUGCAAACGAAGGAAACACAGGAAGAACCGGCAUUGUCAAACAUCGCAUAAAUACUGGAGACGCUAAACCAAUCCGACAAGCUCCGCGUAGGGUUCCACUAGCAAAACGAGAGGAUGCUAACAAAAUUAUUGAAGACAUGCACAAAAACGGUGUAAUCGAACCUUCAAUAAGUCCAUGGAGCUCACCUAUCGUCUUAGUUAAAAAGAAAGAUGGUAGCACCCGUUUCUGCGUAGAUUAUAGGAAGUUGAAUGAUGUCACAAAGAAAGACAGUUAUCCUCUACCAAGAAUCGACGAUACAUUAGACACCUUGUCUGGAGCGAAAUGGUUUUCUACAUUAGAUCUACAAAGUGGAUAUUGGCAAGUCGAGAUUGAUGAAUGUGACCGUGAAAAGACCGCUUUCAGUAUGGGCGACGGGUUAUGGGAAUUCUCUGUGAUGCCAUUUGGGUUAUGUAAUGCGCCUGCAACGUUCGAGCGACUGAUGGAACAUGUGUUAAAAGGACUCAACUGGAAGACAUGUUUAGUGUAUCUUGAUGACAUUAUCAUCAUGGGAAAAAGUUUUGAUGAUCAUCUGAAAAAUCUAGAGGAAGUCUUUCAGCGAAUAGCAGCAGCCGGAUUACGCUUGAAUCCCAAAAAGUGUUCAUUAUGGAAGAAGCAGGUCACAUAUCUCGGACAUAAAGUGUCAACUGAGGGGAUUCACACCGAGGAGGGAAAAAUAAAAGCAGUUAAAGAUUGGCCUCAACCCACCAACAUACAUGAACUCCGCAGCUUCCUCGGCUUAUGCACGUAUUACCGCCGUUUUGUACCUGGAUUUGCGAACGUGGCUAGAAGUUUACACGAUUUAACAAAGAAGAAUCGCCCGUUUGUAUGGCAGUUGGAACAAGAAAAAGCGUUUGAGCAGCUUAAAGAACUACUUUGUACGGCGCCGAUGUUGGCUUAUCCAAUACCUGGAAAGAAAUUCAUCCUGGAUACAGAUGCGAGCGCUUAUGAAA